This 209-nucleotide ribosomal RNA is filed under the name uncultured bacterium. RNAcentral describes it as "partial 16S ribosomal RNA". It matches the Rfam family "Bacterial small subunit ribosomal RNA", at positions 1294 to 1500 of the family's 1533-position model. The record is from RNAcentral.
CGGAUUGUAGUCUGCAACUCGACUACAUGAAGCUGGAAUCGCUAGUAAUCGCGAAUCAGAAUGUCGCGGUGAAUACGUUCCCGGGUCUUGUACACACCGCCCGUCACACCAUGGGAGUUGGCAACGCCCGAAGUCAGUGACCCAACCUUAACAGGAGGGAGCUGCCGAAGGCGGGGCUGAUAACUGGGGUGAAGUCGUAACAAGGUAUC